Odocoileus virginianus texanus is the source of this 3654-nucleotide non-coding RNA. NCBI's taxonomy places the organism in Eukaryota, Metazoa, Chordata, Mammalia, Artiodactyla, Cervidae. The record is from RefSeq and is a predicted model, not a curated record.
UAUUGGAUUGUAUCCUGGAUAUUGUGGACUCUUUGCUGACUUACCAUCAUCUGGACCGUAUUGAUGUUUGGUGUCAACAGGCAGGCAGUCCAGUUAAAGUCAAAACAUAAGUUCUGUCAGCAGUGUCUCAGCAAACAGUGAUUCAAACCUCAUUUCUGUUCUCUAAGAGUUUGCUGUUCUGUUUUGGGUUCUCUCCUGCAGGAACACAGUUUAGGAAUUGGUCUGAGACUUACAUGGUUUUUUCUGUUUGACCGAAUUAUAUAGUAUUUUGAUUCUCUCUUGGUAUCUGAAGCAUAAUAAACCUCAAGGUUAAAUACUGAAUUUGAUUUGGGCCCAAUCUGCAUUAACCCUGUGGAAUCAAUAAAACACCACAGUCUUAACAAAAGCAGGAAACUAUACAAAUUAGCUUUAUGAGACUUUUAAAUCAGUUUUAAUUUUUAACACUUUAUAAGCUUUAUUUAAUGCCAGUUUUAAAAUACGUUGAGUUGAGCCUGUCCCACUAGUGAAAGAAAAAGGAAUGGUAUCAUUUAAACUUUAAACAAGAAGAAAUUAAAAUUUAUAUUUGAUUGAACAUAUUAAUUUCUUCUAGAAGCCUUUUAUACAGUUACAGUGAACCUUAGAGUUACAUCAGAUUUCUUCUUCGAGUGUAUACCUAAAACAAGUUUUAUUUGAAUGGUGUAAUUUUUAUUUUCAGAAACAAAAUAUGUAAUAUUUUAAAAUUUCAUUUAUCUCAUCACAAAAAUAAUCAUAGUACUUUGCUUUGAAAUUGGAUGAGUUAAAUCAGAAGAAAUGAAAUGAACUGGGUUUGUACAAAAGAGUAUGUGUCAGUUAUUUAUUUCUGUGUACCAAACCACUCCAAAACCUAGUGCAUCGACGUCAAAUCAUGUAGAUUUAUUUGUCUCUGUUUCUGUAGUCUGGAUUGUUCUGUUGGUCUAGUUCAGUACUAGUUCUGGUCUCUCCUGGGCUAUCUCACACUGCCGCGGCUGUAUGGAGACUUGACUCAACAUGGCAGCAUCUCGGUGGGAGAGUCUGGAUGGGUAAGGGGCCGGAUGAGCCUCGCUCCAUGUAGAUUCUCACUUUUCAGUGGGCCAGCACUGUCAUUUCUCUAAUUGAACACAUGUUGAGUAUCUGAUUAGCCUUGUUACCCUUAUUAUCUUGUUUAUAUGGGGAAAAAACAAGUUAUAUUACUUUAUUUUUAUUUAUAACAUCUUUUCUAGAGAAACUAGUGACCUGCCAUUUGUUUAGGAGUGUCUGAUCUUUGAAAUGGUUUAUUUGCCCUGACUUAAAAGACCAUGGAAUCAAUUGUUACAUGAUUAGUUUAAUAAUUAUUUAUAUUACUUCUUUUAAAAAACAGGCAAUUGCUGGCUACUUUGAUAUAUAUUUUGAGAAGAAUUGCCACAACAAGGUUGUGUUUUCUACGGGCCCACUGAGCACCAAAACACACUGGAGACAAACAAUAUUUCUCCUGGAGAAGCCAUUUUCAGUUAAAGCAGGUGAAGCCUUGAAGGGAAAGAUCACAGUGCACAAGAAUAAGAAAGAUCCACGUUCUCUCAUUGUGACCCUCACAUUGAACAAUACAACUCAAACUUAUGGUCUCCAGUAAAAAGGCUGCAAAAGCGCCAACUAAUUUGCAGCUUUUAUGGUCGGGAAAGGUUGGGCAGUGGUGGAGGAAGCUUAUGUGAAUACAUGGAUGUUGAAUCUUUGAAUCUGAUAAUUCAGCUAUGGAGGGAAUGAUCCUCGUGAUCCACCUCUGUAAUCACAUUUUUGAAAGUCUGGUCAAGGAGAUUUAACAAAAUGUAAUCCCUGUGUUGGGUUCAGCUGUACUGAAAGUCAUCAGAUUGGCCUAAAUUUGGAACAGAGUAUAAUGUUUUGUUGUUUUUAAUAAUUUCUUACUAUAAAUUUUAACCACUAGUAAUUGAUUGUUAUUUGGAUAAUGUUUUAUGAAACUAGUAACUGUACACAAGGUAUUACGCAUUUUGUUGAAAAUUUCCUUUUUGAGAAAUAGUUUUAAUUGUAUCUGCUAGAAUAUCAGGAUAUUACAGAGCAAGUGUAAGGGACUAAAUGUGGAAGAGACCAUAUAAGCUGUAUUUGAAGACAGCUUAGUUGAUUGUUGUAUAAUUCUGUUGUCAUUUUUUAGCUUCUUCUCUCUUUGCAAAUAUUCUUCAGUCAUAUAGUUUUCUACUACUGCCCAGGACAUCAAGUUUCAAUAAAUUUUCCCUAGAUUUCAAAAAAUUUUUUAAAGAUUGGGAUAAAUAUGUAUUUAUUUACUAAUACUUUUUUCAAACUAGAUUUAUGUACAAAGUUAAACAUGUAACUGUUAAUAUACUUUUAUCACUCUAUGCAUUUGUGUCAUUUACAAUUAUUGAUCCAGUUUGAAAUGCAGAAAACAUUCAAAUAAACGUAUACAACAACCAUUAGUAUUAUAAAGUGACAUUUCCACAUACCAAAGCCUUGUACAAAAUUAGAAGCGUUUAAAACAAGUCUUAGCAAAGCUAUCAUUUUUAAGAAAAUAGGACUUUUAAGGAGAGGUGGAUCACAUGGUUCAUUUCCAUUCAUCAGCUGGUUCAUUUUCACAAGACUCACACAAAGCAGCAUAGCAUUGUGUUGGGAAGCAUGAAUUCUGGAGCCAGUUCAAGCCUUGGCUGCAGCUCUUAUUGCUGUGUGAUCAUAGGUUCCUUAACCUCUGUCUUCCUCCAUAAAUGUGCCAAUUCAUCAGCUGAUACAUUUCAACUGAUACAGUUCAACAACUUGUAUGUGCCUGGCACAUAGAAAACACUUAGUCCAUGCUCAGUGAUAUCAUCAUCUUCAUACAGUCAAGGACCCCUUCCAAAGACUGUAGUGGCAUCUACAUUAGAUCAGUUUGAGAAUUGUCAGCCUUACAAGAUACUACCAUAGUGUGUGAGUGAGUGGGAAGAUUACCAGAGAAUUUAAUGUUUAUUUAGCAAAAAAAUGCAUCAGGAAGAAACUGCCUUUGGUCUUCAGUAGAAAACUGGACUUCCAGCAAUAGGAAAAAUAGCCCCUUCAAGCGAUGGUAUUUCAAACCUUAAUGUAAGUCUUCCUUCUUCGUAAGCAUGGUUUCUUUUUUUCACUGAGCCAAACUAGUCAGCUGGUUUUCACCAUGGAUUUUGGAUUCUGGCCACUACUGGAAAUGUGUACUGCUGCUAAUACAGCUCAAAAUACUUUACAUUUCUGUCUAGGGUGCUUCAUGUAGCAGUUUGAGUAAUGGGAUGAUGGAUCAAAAGUAAGAUUUACCGUUAAUUUUAAAAAUUUUUAAUUGCGUAUAAUUGCUUUACAACGUUGUGUUAGUUAGUUUCUGCUGUACAAGAAUGUGAAUCGGCUCUCUAUAUCUAUCUUCUCCCUCCUGAACCUCCGUUCCACCCCCCCUGUGCCCCUCCUCUGGGUCAUCACAGAGCACCGAGCUGAGCACCUGGUACUUAGACAGGAGCUUCCCACUAGCUGUCUAGUGGUCGUAUAUAUAUGUCAGAUUUACCAUAUACGAAAAUUUACCAUUUAAUUUUUAAAGUAACCAAAAAACAUGUAAUCAUUUUGUUUGUUUUUCUUUCUUACAAGUGUAAAACAAGUAUUUUUUGCUAUUUAAAAAAGUAUUUCUCAAAAAUGAUUUCUCAUUAAAAGUCUUGUUUGAUUUUCAGGGGA